Molecule: ribosomal RNA, 786 nt
Filed under: uncultured Bacillota bacterium
Lineage: Bacteria; Bacillati; Bacillota
Description: bacterial SSU rRNA
Source: RNAcentral
GAGUUUGAUCCUGGCUCAGGACGAACGCUGGCGGCACGCCUAACACAUGCAAGUCGAACGGAGAUAUUUUGGUUUACUGAGAUAUCUUAGUGGCGGACGGGUGAGUAACACGUGAGCAACCUGCCUCUGAGAGAGGGAUAGCUUCUGGAAACGGAUGGUAAUACCUCAUAACAUAACGAAGCCGCAUGACUUUGUCAUCAAAGAUUUAUCACUCAGAGAUGGGCUCGCGUCUGAUUAGAUAGUUGGUGAGGUAACAGCUCACCAAGUCGACGAUCAGUAGCCGGACUGAGAGGUUGAACGGCCACAUUGGGACUGAGACACGGCCCAGACUCCUACGGGAGGCAGCAGUGGGGAAUAUUGCACAAUGGGGGAAACCCUGAUGCAGCGAUGCCGCGUGGAGGAAGAAGGUUUUCGGAUUGUAAACUCCUGUCUUAAAGGACGAUAAUGACGGUACUUUAGGAGGAAGCUCCGGCUAACUACGUGCCAGCAGCCGCGGUAAUACGUAGGGAGCGAGCGUUGUCCGGAAUUACUGGGUGUAAAGGGAGCGUAGGCGGGAUGGCAAGUCAGAUGUGAAAAACUAUGGGCUCAACCCAUAGACUGCAUUUUGAAACUGUUGUUUCUUGAGUGAAGUAGAGGUAAGCGGAAUUCCUGGUGUAGCGGUGAAWUGCGUAGAUAUCAGGAGGAACAUCGGUGGYSAAGGCGCUUACUGCGCUUUUAYCUGACCUGAGGCUCGKAAGCGUGGGGAGCAAACAAGGAUUAGAUACCCUGKAGUCMWCGCUGKAAACG